UUCCGUAGGGGGAACCUGCGGAGGGAUCAUUACAGAGUUCAUGCCCUCCGGGUAGAUCUCCCACCCACUGUUAUCACUACUCUCGUUGCUUUGGCGGGCCGCUGGGCCCUGCCCGGCCGCCGGCCCCGGCUGGCGCGUGCCCGCCAGAGACCUCACAGACUCUGAAUGUUAGUGUCGUCCGAGUAACUAUACAAUCGUUAAAACUUUCAACAACGGAUCUCUUGGUUCUGGCAUCGAUGAAGAACGCAGCGAAAUGCGAUAAGUAAUGCGAAUUGCAGAAUUCAGUGAGUCAUCGAAUCUUUGAACGCACAUUGCGCCCUGUGGUAUUCCGCAGGGCAUGCCUGUUCGAGCGUCAUUUCAACCCUCAAGCCUCGCUUGGUGUUGGGCCCUGCCCGCCGCGGCCGGCCCUAAAGACAGUGGCGGCGCCGCCUGGCCCUCAGCGUAGUACAGCUCUCGCUCCAGGGUCCGGCGGCAGCCUGCCAGAACCCCCCAACUCUGUGGUUGACCUCGGAUCAGGUAGGGAUACCCGCUGAACUUAAGCAUAUC
RNAcentral lists this ribosomal RNA (546 nucleotides) under Oidiodendron sp. shylyk28. Its description in RNAcentral is "eukaryotic LSU rRNA". The stretch from base 202 to 355 matches the Rfam family "5.8S ribosomal RNA". Lineage: Eukaryota; Fungi; Ascomycota; Leotiomycetes; Myxotrichaceae. The record is from RNAcentral.